RNAcentral lists this ribosomal RNA (484 nucleotides) under uncultured bacterium. Its description in RNAcentral is "partial 16S ribosomal RNA". It matches the Rfam family "Bacterial small subunit ribosomal RNA", at positions 30 to 507 of the family's 1533-position model. The record is from RNAcentral.
AUUGAACGCUGGCGGCAGGCCUAACACAUGCAAGUCGAGCGGAUGAAGGGAGCUUGCUCCUGGAUUCAGCGGCGGACGGGUGAGUAAUGCCUAGGAAUCUGCCUGGUAGUGGGGGAUAACGUCCGGAAACGGGCGCUAAUACCGCAUACGUCCUGAGGGAGAAAGUGGGGGAUCUUCGGACCUCACGCUAUCAGAUGAGCCUAGGUCGGAUUAGCUAGUUGGUGGGGUAAAGGCCUACCAAGGCGACGAUCCGUAACUGGUCUGAGAGGAUGAUCAGUCACACUGGAACUGAGACACGGUCCAAACUCCUACGGGAGGCAGCAGUGGGGAAUAUUGGACAAUGGGCGAAAGCCUGAUCCAGCCAUGCCGCGUGUGUGAAGAAGGUCUUCGGAUUGUAAAGCACUUUAAGUUGGGAGGAAGGGCAGUAAGUUAAUACCUUGCUGUUUCGACGUUACCAACAGAAUAAGCACCGGCUAACUUCGUG